AAUGUGUCCCUUUCUGCAGAACUGCUUGGAAACAGGACUGGAUACUUAAGAUGAGUGACGUGAGACAGCCAGCCAACCAUCAGGAAACGCUUAUGGAAAGACACAGUUGCAGAGAUAUAGUCAGUGCUUCUUGAAUAAUGCUUUGCUGAAGAUGCCUUCCUGUCAAUGGAGCGGAGGAAGACAGAGGGGAGUGGCCUUUUAAGCCUUGUUGCACAUCAGCAAUGACAAGACUUGUGAGUAGAACACAGAGCCUGCUUUGUUCCUUGACUUUCGGAUCCUCAGCUGCUUCAACUGACAAUCCGCUGGUGCAGGACUUGGGGCUGGGGUGCCCUGCUCUGGCUUAAAUAGUGUGAGUAUCCUGGGAGCUGAAGAUAUGCAGACUAACUGGUCAGUAAGAACAAUCACUGCUUUCAUGGGAGUUGAAGACCUGAAAACAUGCCUGUGACUGUGUAGUUAGGCUCAAGUGUGUAUCAUCCGCCCUCCAACCUUACCCACCAUGACAGGGGCCCACCCAUCCCUCACCCAUGCAAGCUAUUCUGAAGGUAGCUUUGGGGAAAAUAGGUAUGGACAAGUGUGCUGUAUCCAUUGUGAGAUUUUCUAAUAAAGCAAUCUUCUAUGCCUUGA
This 624-nucleotide long non-coding RNA is filed under the name Mus musculus (house mouse). Its description in RNAcentral is "predicted gene 13986". Lineage: Eukaryota; Metazoa; Chordata; Mammalia; Rodentia; Muridae. The record is from RNAcentral.